UACGGAGGAUGCGAGCGUUAUCCGGAUUUAUUGGGUUUAAAGGGUGCGUAGGCGGACGCUUAAGUCAGCGGUAAAAUCGAGGGGCUCAACCCCUUUAAGCCGUUGAAACUGGUGAUCUUGAGUGCGCGGAAGGCAGGCGGAAUUCGUGGUGUAGCGGUGAAAUGCUUAGAUAUCACGAAGAACCCCGAUUGCGAAGGCAGCCUGCCGCAGCGUUACUGACGCUGAAGCUCGAAAGCGCGGGUAUCGAACAGG
RNAcentral lists this ribosomal RNA (252 nucleotides) under uncultured Bacteroidales bacterium. RNAcentral describes it as "partial 16S ribosomal RNA". It matches the Rfam family "Bacterial small subunit ribosomal RNA", at positions 524 to 776 of the family's 1533-position model. The record is from RNAcentral. Lineage: Bacteria; Pseudomonadati; Bacteroidota; Bacteroidia; Bacteroidales.